UACGUAGGGGGCGAGCGUUGUCCGGAAUUAUUGGGCGUAAAGAGCGUGUAGGCGGUUCGGUAAGUCUGCCGUGAAAACCUGGGGCUCAACCCCGGGCGUGCGGUGGAUACUGCCGGGCUAGAGGGUGGUAGAGGCGAGUGGAAUUCCCGGUGUAGCGGUGAAAUGCGCAGAUAUCGGGGGGAACACCAGUAGCGAAGGCGGCUCGCUGGGCCAUUCCUGACGCUGAGACGCGAAAGCUAGGGGAGCGAACAGG
RNAcentral lists this ribosomal RNA (253 nucleotides) under uncultured bacterium. RNAcentral describes it as "partial 16S ribosomal RNA". It matches the Rfam family "Bacterial small subunit ribosomal RNA", at positions 524 to 776 of the family's 1533-position model. The record is from RNAcentral.